GUGCUCGCUUCGGCAGCACAUAUACUAAAAUUGGAACGAUACAGAGAAGAUUAGCAUGGCCCCUGCGCAAGGGUGACACGCAAAACAGUGUGGUAUUGGCAUAAAAA
Physeter macrocephalus (sperm whale) is the source of this 107-nucleotide small nuclear RNA. Lineage: Eukaryota; Metazoa; Chordata; Mammalia; Artiodactyla; Physeteridae. The record is from Ensembl.